GCUUUCCCCUUCAUAUCAUUUUCUUUCUCUGCGCUGCAACAACAACUAGGACGCAGCUUGGUUUCAAGUACCGUGAAGUGAAACAUAGAGAAAAGUUCUUGGUGGGGGAAUAGAAGCUUGACUUGAGAACUUUCUUUCAAUUAAAAGUGACAACUUUAAGGAAGCUUCAAGUAUCAAUUUUUUGAAGUCUAAAAUUAGGGUUGGAAAUUCUCAAAGAUUGAAUCAUUUGGAACUGCAAAUCUACAUCAUAUAUGAAGUUCUCGGGAUAUCUUACCGUAAGAUAAAGGGACAGCCCGUUGUAUAUGGUGGGAUUCAAAAUUGAGUUUGAAAAAAUGCGAAUAUCAAGAUGGAGAAGUCAACAUCUUAACGCCACUAGUCUUUUCAAGAGAUGGAAGAGAAGAAAUGAAGGGUAAAGUAUUUUCUACUUCCUCAACUCAAGCGGCGAAAAUGUAAAAAAAAUUCUACUUAUUGUGGAAGAAAGGUAAAAAACCUUUUGCUUAGUAUUUUUAAUGAAUAAAGUGAUACUACUUUUCAUGAACAUAAAGUGGUAUUCAAAUACUUGAAA
Capsicum annuum is the source of this 565-nucleotide long non-coding RNA. RefSeq lists it as uncharacterized. The record is from RefSeq and is a predicted model, not a curated record. The transcript has 2 exons. NCBI's taxonomy places the organism in Eukaryota, Viridiplantae, Streptophyta, Magnoliopsida, Solanales, Solanaceae.